AAAAAAAUGAAUAAAUAAAUAAAUAAAGGAGGAUCCUUUUGAUGGGAAACCGAGGCCACCAUAGAUGAGCAUGACCAGCUACCGAUGGACAAUUCUAAAAUGUGAUGGUCAUGAUUGCACAAACCAAAACAGGCCCUUUUCUCUUAACACCUUCUUCACCAUUUAUAAUACUUUCUUGCAGAGCCCGCCUGGUUUUUAUGUGCAGUAUUAAU
Molecule: unclassified non-coding RNA, 212 nt
Filed under: Hevea brasiliensis (rubber tree)
Lineage: Eukaryota; Viridiplantae; Streptophyta; Magnoliopsida; Malpighiales; Euphorbiaceae
Source: RNAcentral